AAGACUAUAGACCUGCGGAGUACCUGCGGAAGGAUCAUUAGUGAACGCCCUCGCGGGCUUAUAACUAUUCCAAACCUCUGUGAACCGUGCCCUUCGGGGCUAUUUUACAAACAUGGUGUAAUGAACGUCAUAUAUCAUAACAAAACAAAACUUUUAGCAAUGGAUCUCU
RNAcentral lists this unclassified non-coding RNA (169 nucleotides) under soil metagenome. RNAcentral describes it as "partial contains 5.8S ribosomal RNA, internal transcribed spacer 2, and large subunit ribosomal RNA". The record is from RNAcentral.